Molecule: small nuclear RNA, 107 nt
Organism: Pipistrellus kuhlii (Kuhl's pipistrelle)
Lineage: Eukaryota; Metazoa; Chordata; Mammalia; Chiroptera; Vespertilionidae
Source: RefSeq, a predicted model, not a curated record
AUGCUCGCUUCGGCAGCACAUAUACUAAAAUUGGAACGAUACAGAGAAGAUUAGCAUGGUCCCUCCGCAAGGAUGACAUGCAAAUUCGUGAAGCGUUAAAAAAAAAA